Molecule: ribosomal RNA, 500 nt
Filed under: uncultured Eubacteriales bacterium
Lineage: Bacteria; Bacillati; Bacillota; Clostridia; Eubacteriales
Description: uncultured Clostridiales bacterium partial 16S ribosomal RNA
Source: RNAcentral
CACGUAGUUAGCCGGGGCUUCUUAGUCAGGUACCGUCAUUUUCUUCCCUGCUGAUAGAAGUUUACAUACCGAAAUACUUCUUCCUUCACGCGGCGUUGCUGCAUCAGGGUUUCCCCCAUUGUGCAAUAUUCCCCACUGCUGCCUCCCGUAGGAGUUUGGGCCGUGUCUCAGUCCCAAUGUGGCCGUUCACCCUCUCAGGCCGGCUACUGAUCGUCGCCUUGGUGAGCCCUUACUCACCAACCAGCUAAUCAGACGCGGGUCCAUCUCAUACCACCGGAGUUUUUCACACCGUCCCAUGCGAGACCGUGCGCUUAUGCGGUAUUAGCAGUCAUUUCUAACUGUUAUCCCCCUGUAUGAGGCAGGUUACCCACGCGUUACUCACCCGUCCGCCACUCAGUCAAAUAAGACUUCAAACCGAAGUAAUCCGUCUUAAGUGCUUCGUUCGACUUGCAUGUGUUAAGCACGCCGCCAGCGUUCAUCCUGAGCCAGGAUCAAACUCU